CAUGGUUGUCGUCAGCUCGUGUCGUGAGAUGUUGGGUUAAGUCCCGCAACGAGCGCAACCCCUAUUGUUAGUUGCCAUCAUUCAGUUGGGCACUCUAGCGAGACUGCCGGUAAUAAACCGGAGAAGGUGGGGAUGACGUCAAAUCAUCAUGCCCCUUAUGACCUGGGCUACACACGUGCUACAAUGGUUGGUACAACGAGUUGCGAGUCGGUGACGGCGAGCUAAUCUCUUAAAGCCAAUCUCAGUUCGGAUUGUAGGCUGCAACUCGCCUACAUGAAGUCGGAAUCGCUAGUAAUCGCGGAUCAGCACGCCGCGGUGAAUACGUUCCCGGGCCUU
This 336-nucleotide ribosomal RNA is filed under the name uncultured Streptococcus sp. RNAcentral describes it as "bacterial SSU rRNA". It matches the Rfam family "Bacterial small subunit ribosomal RNA", at positions 1044 to 1382 of the family's 1533-position model. The record is from RNAcentral. Lineage: Bacteria; Bacillati; Bacillota; Bacilli; Lactobacillales; Streptococcaceae.